CGACAACCAAGGAGGUCCACGUCUGCGAGCGCAGAGCAUCCAGGAGCACCUUAACUACAUCAUCUGAUUAACGGGAGGAGGAGAGUGACUGGCAUAUGAGAUCGCACGAGGACGUGCGAAUGUCAGUCUGGCCGUGACGGCGCAUCGAUUAUUUUAGAGCGGGGUAGUCGUCCCGCUCUGACGCAACACCGAGCGCUGGCGCGCGCCCGCAGUCGAGCGCAGCCUUCAUAGCGGUUACAUCGAUUUGCAUCGCGCAACUACGCUACGUGUUCGGUGGAGUGUCUGUGAUUUUCGAUUAAUUCUAAUAUCGGCAAUGUAAUAGAAGUAAUAUCUCGGUGAUUAUUAAAAUAGCUUGGACUUAAUGGUGAAA
This is a long non-coding RNA of Ostrinia nubilalis (European corn borer), 370 nucleotides long. RefSeq lists it as uncharacterized. NCBI's taxonomy places the organism in Eukaryota, Metazoa, Arthropoda, Insecta, Lepidoptera, Crambidae. The record is from RefSeq and is a predicted model, not a curated record. The transcript is spliced from 2 exons.